RNAcentral lists this long non-coding RNA (742 nucleotides) under Homo sapiens (human). Its description in RNAcentral is "HSALNT0135918". Lineage: Eukaryota; Metazoa; Chordata; Mammalia; Primates; Hominidae. The record is from RNAcentral.
UGAUCCACCUGCCUCAGCCUCCCAAACAUGGUAUUCUGUUAUAGCAACCAGAAUGGACUAGGACACUCUGUGUGUCUAGAGUAGAGGGAAUGAGGAGAAAGUAGAGAAGAGGGUAGAGAGAUUGUGUGUGUGUGUGUGUGUGUGUGUGUGUGUGUGUGUGUGUGUACAGGGAAGUCAGGUCAUGUGGGCCUUGCAUAAUUACUUUAAGGGAAAUGGACAGUCAUUGGAGGCUUUGAGCAGAGAAAUAACAUGGCUUGACAUACAUUUUAGAAGCAUCACUCUGGCUGCUGAGUGGAAAGGAGAUUUUAAGACUGCUGUUGGGGAAGGAGGAAGACCAGUUGGGAGGCUGCUGCAUCUUCAGCUCCCGAUUACUCAUGGCUUCAGACUUCCAUCAAUUUAAUAAAAACAAAACAAUGGAGUGAAGACUGAAAAAUUACCUAUUGAGUACCAUGUUCACUGUUUGGAUGAUGGGUACACUGAAAACCCAGACUUCAUCAGCAUGCAGUAUAUGCAUCUAAAAGCUCUGCACUAAAUAUUUGUGAAAAAGAAGACAAAACAGGCAAUAAAAUAAUUCUGACAUAUUAAAACAGCCAGCCUAUAACUCAGUUCAAAAUAUUCGAGCAAAGCUGAGGUCUUUGGGUAGUUGGUAGGGUGAGUAAUAACUGAAUGGGGUGACAAUGAGGAGAGUCAGGAGGGCUAAACAUGGCUUCCACCUCUUGCCAAAGCCUGGUGUGGCUGCAGC